This is a long non-coding RNA of Hirundo rustica (Barn swallow), 655 nucleotides long. RefSeq lists it as uncharacterized. The record is from RefSeq and is a predicted model, not a curated record. Lineage: Eukaryota; Metazoa; Chordata; Aves; Passeriformes; Hirundinidae. The transcript has 3 exons.
GGUUUAUAGAUGCUGCUGAUUUAAGCUGAAUUCAACCCUGAACCAUGAUGUCCAGGCAGGAAUAUUUCACCAGACUGAAAGAGUGGGUCCUUCAAAAUGUCUGAUGGCCAAGAACACAGGGAGUACUAUGCAUCAUGAUGAGAUUUACAGGAAAAUGAGAUCUCAGUGCACGUACCAGCUGGAAAAACCUAAACCGCUCUGAAGAACUGCCAUAACAAGUACCCUUAAAAUGCAAGCUCUCGGUGAGACAUGGAAUUGCUAGCUUCUGAACAAGCUGACAAAUCAGAACCACAGAAUAUCCUGAUGUGGCAAGGACCCACAAGGAUCGUUGAGUCCAACAUCUGGCCCUGCACAGAACACUCCAAGAGUCACAUUGUGUGCCUGAGAGCACUGUUCAAAUGCUUCUUGAACUCUGUCAGGUUUGGUGCUGUGAUCGUUUCCCUUGGGAGCCUGUUCCAGUGCCCAACGACCCCAUGGGUGAAGAACCUUUUUCUGAUAUCCAGCCUAAACCUGCCCUUACACAGCUUCAGGCCACUCCCUGAGGUCCUGCCCCUGGUCACCAGAGAGGAGAUCAGUGUCUGCCCCUCCUCUUCCUCUCAGGAGGAAGCUGUAACUGCAGUGAGGUCUCCCCUCAGUCUCGUCUUCUCCAUGCCGA